Molecule: ribosomal RNA, 253 nt
Filed under: uncultured bacterium
Lineage: Bacteria
Description: partial 16S ribosomal RNA
Rfam family: Bacterial small subunit ribosomal RNA
Source: RNAcentral
UACGAAGGGUGCUAGCGUUGUUCGGAAUCACUGGGCGUAAAGCGCGCGUAGGCGGCUUUUCAAGUCAGGGGUGAAAUCCCACGGCUCAACCGUGGAAUUGCCUUUGAAACUGUUAAGCUGGAGUAUUGGAGGGGAUAGCGGAAUUCCUAAUGUAGAGGUGAAAUUCGUAGAUAUUAGGAGGAACACCGGUGGCGAAGGCGGCUAUCUGGACAAUUACUGACGCUGAAGUGCGAAAGCGCGGGGAUCAAACAGG